RNAcentral lists this long non-coding RNA (2778 nucleotides) under Homo sapiens (human). RNAcentral's name for it is "non-protein coding lnc-IFI35-1:1". Lineage: Eukaryota; Metazoa; Chordata; Mammalia; Primates; Hominidae. The record is from RNAcentral.
UAAAAAAAUCAAUCUACCAAUCUUUAGCAGUAAGAGGGAAAGUUAGACCUCAGCUGGGGAACUUUCCUGUCCAUGUCCACAGAUAGAGCAGAGGACAAAGCCAUAGGUUGGAUCAGAAGUGUCCUUUUAGGAGUCAGAGUUGGGAGAAGGAGACAUCCUGGGACUGUUCAUCCUAGUUAAUGAAGUGGGCAAUUCUCAGGCCAUUAGGGGGUUUUAGAGCAGACCGACAUAUAAUUAGUCAGCAUUUCUCAGCCCAGCCAGGCCUGCUGCUAGUGUGGGAGGGGUCCUGCUCACCAUCUGUACCCCUGGCUUGGAGCCUGCUGGUACCCUGGGGGUUGUGGGGAUAAGGAGGCAUCAGGCCGGGCGCGCUGGCUCACGCCUGUAAUCCCAGCACUUUGGGAGGCCGAGGUGGGCGGAUCACAAGUUCAGGAGAUCGAGACCAUCCUGGCUAACACGGUGAAACCCCAUCUCUACUAAAAAUACAAAAAAUUAGCCAGGCGCGGUGGCAGUGCCUGUAGUCCCAGCUGCUCGGGAGGCUGAGGCAGGAGAAUGGUGUGAACCCGGGUGAACCUGGGAGGCGGAGCUUGCAGUGAGCCGAGAUUGCGCCACUGCAUUCUAGCCUGGAUGACAGAGCAAGACUCUGUCUCCAAAAAAAAAAAAAAAAAAAAAAAAGAAGGCAUCAAAAGCCUCCACAUCACAGAAGCUACCCCUGUACAGCGUGAAGUUUCCUAAGAGGUCAGUAGUUUGAUUCUGGGGUCUCCUUAGAGGCUCAGGCCAGGGACCUUUCUCUCCUCCCAUGCUGAGUUUCAUGAUGGCUUUCAGGGGAGCAUCAGCUGUUAGAGUCACCCCUACCCUGUCCCUUAAAGGAAAGACGGUGGAGAGGACGGCUGAGCGCCUGUUGUCAGGAAAGACAGUACUGGUCUGUUUUCUCGGGAGUCUGGUUUCAGAUUGUCCUGUAUUCCCUUCCUGGCUCUGGUCCCACUGGCCUCUUUUCGGUGACAUUCUCCCCCAGGAACCAUCCCUGGCCCUUCCCUCCCCCAGCCCUAGCCAGUUCUCCCAGACACACUGGAAGAGAACACUGACCUUACCCAACUAUCUGCUGGGAUCCCACCCAAAUUUAUAGCCCAUUCCUCCCUCAUUCAUUCAUUCAGCAAGUAUGUACUGAACACCAACUGUGUGGCAUACACUGGCUUGGGAGAUUGCAAGGACCAGUCUCUAAGCUUUUGGAGGCCAGCCCAGUGUGGAAGAGAGGUACCUCAGGUGUGAGGGUGCCAUGGCUGAGGGAUAUUUGUACAUGUAUGGGAUGCUAUGGGAGCUCCUUGCAGCCUGAGAAGCCAGUCCUGUGAGCCAGGUCCUGAGGGUUGAAGAGGAGUUUUCCGGGCAGGGAAGGGGUAGGAAAGGCACUCUGGGCAGAGGGUACAGCAUGUGUAAACACGUGGAGAUGAGAAUGAGCAUAGCACUGUUGGGGCUCCCAUGGCAGGGAGAAUAGAAGACAAGGCUAGGAAGGUACACUGAGGCUACUGCAGGGUCCACAGAGGAAUCAGAAUUUCAUUCUGAGGAUGAAUGAAAUCAUCCUCAGAGGAUGAAGCCACCAGGAAUUUCAGGCAGAGAGUGAAGUGAUCAGAGUUGUUUUUUGGAUAGAUGGUUAUCUGGAUGUGGUGUUGGAGCUGGGAGAUUUGGCUCUGAGGUGUGUCAUUUAAAAUAAUAGCUUCUCGGCAGUGGCUCACACCUAUAAUCCCAGCCAAGAUUCCUCCUUUGGGAGGCCAAGCUGGGAGGAUCGCUUGAGGCCAGGAGUUAGAGACUGCAGUGAGCUAUGAUCAUGCCAUUGUCUUCCAGCCUGAGUGUCAGAGUGAGACCCUGUCUCUAAAAAAAAUUAAAAAAUAAAAAAUAAAAAAUAGCUUCUCCUUUCCCUUAUGCCAGGUUCCAGUCUUGAGAGGAAAGGAAUCCCUACCCACCACUCCCUGGAUCAUCAGAUAUCCCUAUCCCAACCUCUCCUAUGGGACUAGUUCAUCUCAGCCAGUCUCAAAGAUUCUAGGAUAACUUCAAUGGCAUUUGAAAUUAUCUAAGUGUGCUUGGAUAACCACCCCCUCAAACUGAGACCUGGUUAGGGACUGACUCAAAGACCCUGAGUCCUCGGCUAAGGGUACAGGAGAGGGCAGGGGCUCCAGGCCCAGCUAGGUGGAUCUCCAUCUGUCUCUGAGGACUGACCCUUUCCCCACAAGGACCUGCCAUAAAAAUCGACUUGCGAUUUUUAGCUGAGUGGCUUCUCUUUUCCACUUUGGACUUCUCAGUGUAUAGCAGGUUCAAGCCUGCAACCACCAAAGUGCAGAGUGUGGAGUGUUUGUGCCCCCUCUUUCCUCCAACCUCCAUAUCCUGCCAUGUGAGCUCAGGGAAUGCAAAUGCAUUUAAAUAUCCAUCUAAAGCAAACAUAAUUAGAAAAAUCAAUCAGCUGGAGGACCCCCCAAAGUUUAAUACAUUUUCAAUACCACCAGGAAUGGAUUUUUGGUCCCUUUCUGCAGGUCUGGGUUGCCAGACGUUUUAUUUCUGGGGAGGAGGGCUCUGGGCUGAGGAGCUCAGUGGGUGGGAGGAGGGAAUGGGACUGUUGCUGAUCCUCAAAGGCCUCUGUAGGAUGGAGGGAGGGGACCUUACUCCCUUCCCCACCCCAGAUGCAGGAGUCACCCAGCUUCCUUCUCUGCGCUGUUUCCUUCACAAAUUAGACAUUGGUUUGGGAAACAAUGUAGCCUCGUUAAACAUUUAAUGAAAUAAACAAAUAAUCAC